UGAGGCAAUUGAAAUUUGUACGCAUUAUUGUAUAUACCAAAUGGAUUAUUUCUUGUGACUCUUACUUUCAACGGUCUAGGACAAGAUAGCAAACAAGCAAUCGACAACUUGAAAUCGUAAAAUAACGAAGCAGAUUUGUACCUAAUUUUAUAUAUUUUCUAACGUAACCACUUCCCCCUUUCCUUAUUAUAAGAGGAUGGUGGAGGGACGAGGAAUAGAAUUGUACUCCGGCACAAACAGCGAUAAGAAUCUCGAUGUGCUGAAAUGUCCAGAUAAACCUUGGGAGUAUGUUGUUACUAUAUCUUCAGGUACCUCCCUUUCCACUGCCAAGGAGUCGAGAAGAUCUUUCUUAGUUGCACACAGUCCUCAAUUCUUGCAGCCAGUGUCGUAAUCGAAUCCAGGAUGCAUAAGAAGAUGGAUCAUAGCAUAUAAUCGCUGCAUGAGCUCC
This is a long non-coding RNA of Papilio xuthus (Asian swallowtail), 448 nucleotides long. RefSeq lists it as uncharacterized. The transcript is spliced from 4 exons. The record is from RefSeq and is a predicted model, not a curated record. NCBI's taxonomy places the organism in Eukaryota, Metazoa, Arthropoda, Insecta, Lepidoptera, Papilionidae.